This 184-nucleotide long non-coding RNA is filed under the name Cricetulus griseus (Chinese hamster). Its description in RNAcentral is "lncRNA (ENSCGRG00000026193.1)". The record is from RNAcentral. Lineage: Eukaryota; Metazoa; Chordata; Mammalia; Rodentia; Cricetidae.
GUUCUGCUCUAUUACCAUCUUGCCUGCACCAAGUUCUGGGAAUCCAUUGUAGAGCAUUGGAAGAAGAGAAAUGAUUUUAUUUGUUAACCUUUGCUUGCUGGGACUACUGGGAAAGACAGCUUUCUUAGAACUGCUGGAACAGAUAAUCAGCGUAACCAAUGCUCAUCCUGAUCUACUGCACUGA